UGUACUUUCACCUAUUCUUUUUAAUAUCAUAAUGUAUAUAAUUAUAAAUGAAGCUCGGGAGCUGCGAGUUUAAUGGAUCUGAGCUUAAAUGCAAAAUUACAUCUAGAAAAUAGGAUAAUAUCAUAUGCAGAUGACAUCGCUAUUGUGUCUUUAAGCAUCAAAGAAACGGAAAAUCUGUUAUACCUGCUAGAAAAUUUAAGUCUAAAAAUGGGUUUAAAAAUAAAUUUUAACAAAACAGUCAUUCUUCCUUCCCCUAGUGCAGUCCAGAAUCCAAAUAUCAUAAUUAGUGGUAAUAUUAUUAAGAUAGUAGAUAAAAUUAAAUACUUAGGCAUAUUGUUAGACAACAAAGGCUGCUGUAAAGAAGAAUUGAAAAUUAGAAUACAAAAAUCGAGAGGGGCGUUUUAUAAAUAUAUGAAAAUUUGGAAAACGAAAGAGAUUUCUGUAUACACCAGAUUAAGAAUUUUCAAUUCUAUUAUAAUUCCUAUAUUACUAUUUGGCGGAGAUUUAUGGGAAAUUAAUAAAACAGAAAAUAGAAGAUUACAAUCCUUCAUAAAUAACUGCCUCCAUACUAUAAAUGGUAUCUUCUACCCAAAAGUAAUAUCUAAUAAUAAUUUAUGGAGAAUAUCAAAACAUAUUCCAAUUCAUAUUACAUUAAAAAAACGCCGCAUUCAAUUCCUAGCUCACAUUAUAAGGAACUCAGAUCAAAAUCUAGUUCAUGAUGCUAUUACAUGACUCUACACUCAUAAUAGGAAAGAAUACACAAAAUAUAAAUCCUUAUGGUAUUAUAAAACCAUAAAAGAUAUUAUGGAACUAAAUUUAAACAUGAAACAAUUUAUCAAGUUAAAUAACUGCAAAAAUUCCAUAAAGAAGCUUUUCAAAAUCAAACACAAAUAUUUUAAAUAAAAAAAUCUAGGCUUAUUUUUAUAAUGAACAUGUAUUUUCCAGCAGGACAUCAGGACAAACCAAAAUGAAAUUGGAAACAAAUUAAUUGCAAUUUGGCCUCUUGGGAUCAAAAAUCAACUCAACAAUUUGAAGAAAAAAUACCAGUCAUUCUGGUGAAUUUAAAAAGAAGCAGCUAUUGAACAUGGAACCAAUGGUAUUUUAGCUGAACUCAAACUAGGGGGGGGGUACAAGGGUUCUAGACAGAAUUGUUAAAAAAUGAGUGAUAUACGAUUUAUAGGAGAUUGGUAAUGAAAAGACUGGAGAAGUUGCUCAGUGGAUCCUACAUUAAAAUUUAAGACGGUAUAUAAAUUUAUUCUAGAAUAAAUCUUUAAAUGUCAAUCUAUAUGCAAAAAUA
Molecule: long non-coding RNA, 1297 nt
Organism: Gordionus sp. m RMFG-2023
Lineage: Eukaryota; Metazoa; Nematomorpha; Gordioida; Chordodea; Parachordodidae
Exons: 4
Source: RefSeq, a predicted model, not a curated record